Molecule: ribosomal RNA, 253 nt
Filed under: uncultured bacterium
Lineage: Bacteria
Description: partial 16S ribosomal RNA
Rfam family: Bacterial small subunit ribosomal RNA
Source: RNAcentral
UACGGAGGGUGCGAGCGUUAUCCGGAAUUACUGGGUUUAAAGGGUGCGUAGGCGGCUAAGUAAGUCAGGAGUGAAAGUUUGCGGCUCAACCGUAAAAUUGCUUUUGAUACUGCAUAGCUAGAAUUAGGAUGAGGUCAGCGGAAUGUGGCAUGUAGCGGUGAAAUGCAUAGAUAUGCCAUAGAACACCAAUUGCGAAGGCAGCUGGCUAGACCUGGGUUGACGCUGAGGCACGAAAGCGUGGGGAGCGAACAGG